RNAcentral lists this ribosomal RNA (465 nucleotides) under Vreelandella stevensii. RNAcentral describes it as "partial 16S ribosomal RNA". It matches the Rfam family "Bacterial small subunit ribosomal RNA", at positions 338 to 795 of the family's 1533-position model. Lineage: Bacteria; Pseudomonadati; Pseudomonadota; Gammaproteobacteria; Oceanospirillales; Halomonadaceae. The record is from RNAcentral.
CCUACGGGAGGCAGCAGUGGGGAAUAUUGGACAAUGGGCGAAAGCCUGAUCCAGCCAUGCCGCGUGUGUGAAGAAGGCCUUCGGGUUGUAAAGCACUUUCAGUGGGGAAUAAAGCCUUGGGGCUAAUACCCUCGAGGAAGGACAUCACCCACAGAAGAAGCACCGGCUAACUCCGUGCCAGCAGCCGCGGUAAUACGGAGGGUGCGAGCGUUAAUCGGAAUUACUGGGCGUAAAGCGCGCGUAGGCGGUCUGAUAAGCCGGUUGUGAAAGCCCCGGGCUCAACCUGGGAACGGCAUCCGGAACUGUCAGGCUAGAGUGCAGGAGAGGAAGGUAGAAUUCCCGGUGUAGCGGUGAAAUGCGUAGAGAUCGGGAGGAAUACCAGUGGCGAAGGCGGCCUUCUGGACUGACACUGACGCUGAGGUGCGAAAGCGUGGGUAGCAAACAGGAUUAGAUACCCGGGUAGUC